Long non-coding RNA from Monodelphis domestica (gray short-tailed opossum), 406 nucleotides. RefSeq lists it as uncharacterized. Lineage: Eukaryota; Metazoa; Chordata; Mammalia; Didelphimorphia; Didelphidae. The record is from RefSeq and is a predicted model, not a curated record.
UUGUCAGUGGCUGAGGCAACACAGCCCAUUAUUGAUGUUGCUGCCUUGGCUCUUACUGCAUUUAGUUGGACAUUAGACAGACCAUAAAGGAGAUAUGGACUGUGGAAAGCAAAUGGCUUCAGAGCCUGUCAAGAACCAUUAAAUGGGGUCACAAGACAUCACAUCCUCCAGGAAAGGCACCUGCUCUUGGUCAACCUCUCAUCUAGUCAGAUGAAGAAGAGAAAGUCACUCAGAGAGAACAAAUCAACAUGAAUAGAAAAUGAAUUUUCAGAACUCUGGAAGUAGAGAGAACAUCUGGCUAUCUCCACAAGGAUGGGUAGUACAUUUCAAGAGACAGUUUUAUGACCUUAUGUGACCAUGAAGUCAUUGUGAUUAAAUAGCAGCUAAUGAAAAUGGCUAAGAAUAA